UAUGAUCACUCGAUGUCGGGGGAUUCGACCCCUUCGGUGUCUAAGCUAACGCGAUAAGUGAUCCGCCUGGGUAGUACGAUCGCAAGAUUAAAACUCAAAGGAAUAGACGGGGACCCACGCAAGCGGUGGAGCAUCUGGUUUAAUUCGACAGUAAGCGAAGAACCUCACCAAGGCUUGACAUCCCGAGAAGAUUGCCGAAAGGCGAUUGUGCCGCAAGGAACUCGGUGACAGGUGCUGCAUGGUUGUCGUCAGCUCGUGCCUUGAGGUGUUCGGUUAAGUCCGUAAACGAGCGCAACCCAUGUCUUAUGUUGAAUUUUUCAUAAGAGACUGCCGGCUCCAAGUCGGAGGAAGGUAUGGAUGACGUCAAAUCAGCAUGGCCCUUAUGCCUUGGGCCACACAGGUGCUACAAUGGGAGAUACAAAGGGCUGCAACAUAGUAAUAUGAAGCCAAUCCUGAAAGUCUCUCUUAGUUCGGAUUGAGGGCUGCAAUUCGCCCUCAUGAAGCUGGAAUCGCUAGUAAACGUGAAUCAGCUAUGUCACGUUGAAUAUGUUCCUGGGUCUUGUACUCACCGCCCGUCAAGUCAUGGAAGGUUGGAGUACCCAAAGUUCCCUUAGUUUUCGAACGGGGGCCUAAGGUAAUACAACUGACUGGGACU
RNAcentral lists this ribosomal RNA (655 nucleotides) under uncultured bacterium. RNAcentral's name for it is "bacterial SSU rRNA". It matches the Rfam family "Bacterial small subunit ribosomal RNA", at positions 808 to 1482 of the family's 1533-position model. The record is from RNAcentral.